Molecule: non-coding RNA, 5479 nt
Organism: Ictidomys tridecemlineatus (thirteen-lined ground squirrel)
Lineage: Eukaryota; Metazoa; Chordata; Mammalia; Rodentia; Sciuridae
Source: RefSeq, a predicted model, not a curated record
CGUGACGCACCGCGGGGCUGCGGUAGUCGCAGGCCCGGUUGCUGAGCGUCAGCUCUGCUGCUGUUUUGCUGCUGUUGCGCAGUGUCGCGACCUGGCCAAUAGGGGCGACCCAAAAUUAGAAUUGCUAGCUCAAGGACAGGUUUUUAAUGCCAAAUGAAUCUCUAUUUUCAUGACUUCAAGAGUUUGCUCCCCACAUAAGAUUUUCAGUAGCUUUAAAGCUCCGACUGGUGUCUGGGACCUAGAGUUGCUGCUUCUUGGAAGACUGACGCAGGAGGAAGAGCUCAAGGCCAGCCUGAAGUUUCUGCUUUUCAAGACUAGAACCAAGAAUAACGAAACUCUUUAAGAAAGGCUGUUUCACAACACAGACUCCAUCCCUUGAAAUGUUAUUUUCCAACUGCCUCAAGUGGUUUCUACUUCCGCUGCUGCAUGCCCAUGAUAUAAUGCUCCCAAGGCAAUCAGAAUGAUGAUCUUAAGUCUUGGGGUUUGGUGUCGAAGGAUGAUGAGACAGCCAUUCAAUAUGUGAGCAGAAAAAGCCAAAACAAGGUUUUGUGCCCUCCAGGAAGGAGGAGCUAUGUCAGUAGGUACAGUCUCACCCAGUGGAGCAGGCUAUUGAUCUUGCGUGCCCUGGGGAAGAAUGGGGUCCAGGGAUAGGGAGUGCAUUUCAGAGGCAAAAGGAUUUGACACCAUCUGUAGAAGAGUGGAUUGUUGUUAACUCUCCAGUGAAUUUAUUGGAGAGUAUCUGUGAUUGGCUGGCGUUUUGGGGGCGUGGCUUUGCAAAACCAGAGCGCUGAUUCUAGGAGUUCAGAAACUUGCGUUUUAGGUUUCUUUUUGAUUAUAAAAAUGUUGGGCGGGGUGGGGGGGCUCAGAGGUACAAUGCAUGUGCGGGCUCUGGAGUAAGUCCUUAUCACCCAUUAAAAAAAACAAAAAAAAUUUAAAAAUUAAACCUACAGAAAACAUGGUGGAAUGAGAUAGACAUCAUUACCCUUGGUGCGCGUUCGGUUGCUGGAAUGGUGCGUCUCUACACUGUGUACGGAGAAUUGAAAUGUUGCACUCCAUUUGUAUGCGAUGUGCGAUGAAUUGAAAUGCAUUCUGCUGUCAUGCACAACUAAGUAGAAGAAAUUUAAAAAAAAAAUAACUAAACCUAACGGAAAAAUCAAAGAGUAAAGUAACCAAAAAAAAGUCAUGCGUCCCUGGGUGCCCAGAGACAACCCCAGAGCGCUGUCCAGCGAAUGCAACGCCUGGGCGCGCAGUACUCAGCACUGGGAUUCCUCGGUUACCUACCAAACCAGCAGCGUCUGUGUUCCCAGGAACACCGAGACCUUGUGGUGAGACUGACUUCUCCGUGAUAAGGAAGAGCGGUUGUUGCACCUUUCCUCGUCCUAGCCAUGAGGAAUCUUUCCCUGCAGUUUUUUCCACCGUUUUUAGUUGUCUUGAGUCUUGUAUUUAUUAUAUUUUGGGCUUGUUUUGCCAUAGAAAGGAUUGUUUUCAAAUGUAGUCAAAGCUAUCAAUCUAUUCUGUUAUUGUUAUUUUGAAACAAGGAAAUCCUUUUUCCUGCACCUGGAUUAUAGGGGAUUUUUGUCCAUGUUUUGUUAUGAUUUUUUUCCUAGUACUUUUAUGAUUUCAUUAUUCAUUCACCAAUUCCUAAUCCAUUUGCUGUUGGUUGAUUGCCGAGCAUGAGACAGAGGUCAAAUUUUCUCUUUUCCCACUUGCCUCAACUCCAUUUGGCUGAGAUGCCACCUUCAUCUUAUACUAAAUUCCCAAAUGGGUUUGUAUUUGCUAACCCUAACUCUUGCUGUCUCUUCCUGAAUCAGCACCACAUUUUUUUCUUUUAUGUGUCUUAGGCUGUGAUUUAUUGACUAACUCUGGUCCUUCAUCAUGACUUUUAUUUUGCAAUGUUUUCCUGGGUAUUUUUGCUUAUUUUUCCAUUUAAAAUUGGUAUAAACAUGUAUAGCCCAAUAUAUAUUCGUAUAUUUAUUAGUAUUUUUAAAUUAGAAUUGAACUUUCUAAAUUAAUUUAGGGACACUUGACAUUUUUAAACUUAAAUCAUCAUAUCCAAGAAAAAAGGGUGUCUUUCCAUUCAUUCAAAUCCACUUUUGUAUCUUUCAAGAGAGUCUUAAAGAUUUUUUAUAUACAUUUUACAUUUUUCUUGUUAACUUCAUUCUUCUUUGAUUUGUAUAUUCGGUUUUUUCCAACAGUAGUUCACAAACUGCUCGUAUAUAUGAGGGCCAUUGGUUUUGGGUAUUAACUUUAUAUUCUGCCAACUUAGUUCUCCUAUCUGACUUUUUUUUUCUUGAGCCAUGAGGAAGAUUAUCCGGACACCUGACAAAAUCUGAAUAAGUAAUUUGUUUUCUGUUCACAGUAACAUCCUGAUUUUGAUUAUGAUACUGUGGCUGUGAAAGUACUUGUACUUAGAAAGCUCACACUGAGAUAUUAGAAACUGAAGAGUUGUUCCACCUGCAGCUUACUCUCAAUCUGUUCAGAAGACUGUGUAUGUGCACACAGAUAAGCAUAAAAUGGGUAAAAUUGUUACCGCUGUUUACCAGUGACGAGUCUUCCCCGAUGCUGAAGUAUAACACCAGAGAAGCAUCCCGAGGCAAGUUUAGAGUAGAAACUUGAAGUUUUAUUAAAGGACAGCAGAAAAGACUUUUCUCCCUGGAGGAAGAAGGGGACCCAAUAGGUGGAAUCUGUGGAAGGGCUGGAUCAUCCCUUUUUUAUAGCUAAGGUUUACUUUCAGAUUUCCCAGAUUCCUGUCGCAUGCAUUCCUGUCCUUUGUUCUGUUAUCUUGCAGUGAUGAAAUGUAGGUGGGAAGGCCCAAAAGAUGGGGGACAGACAGACCCGGAGGAGUAAUCUGGCCAUUAAGGGUUUUGGGAUUAGCAUCUCUUUGUUUGCUGGGAGCUGCUUCAUUAACAAUUCCUUGGGAUGGGCUCUGGGUCUUGGGGACUUUUUCAAUUCCCCUUUUCCUGGACUCCAUUCUCAAUAUGGCCUUCAUUAUUGAUUUUACUUGAUAUUAGACCAGGUUUACCUAACUACACUAACUACUUAUCUUUAAAUCUGGCUUCAAAAUGAAUGUGGUGAAAUGUCACUAAUUAGGGAAUCUGGAUUGGGGUUUAUUUGGAACUCCUUGUUCCAGUUUACAACUUCUAAGUCUGAGAUUACCUCUAAAGACUUGACCACCCAGAGAACCUUGGGCAGCUUCACAUCUCAGACACCUGAUAAAUAGCCCAGCUUGAAAAUGCUUAUGCACAUGGAUGAGUCCCUUAAAUCAGGACAGUUACACCGGUAGGCAGUGCUAUAACCAGAAAAGCUUAUUACUCUAUUACUGUGCACACAAUAAGCAUGUGCGUUCUAAACACAUUGACCUAUUUUUAGCCAAAGUGCACUUAUUUUAUAACUACUUAGUGAUGGGAAAGUGAGAAUGACCUCAGAAUGCCGAGGAGACUCCCAACUGGGACCAUUCAGUUUCCAGACUGGUUUCACUGGUCUGGGGGAAGCUACAGCUUCUGAAGCAAAGGUAGAUACAGACAGAAAAGACCUCUCCUGGUGCACAGUGCAAGUUUAUAGCAUGUAAUUGAAAGACCCCCGUAUCCCUGUCCAAGGAGAAUCACACGAAACACUGGCUGCAAAAAGCAAGAGGUUUGUUUAUUGGGACACAGGCGCCUGCGGGUGCCCAGUAGAACCUCAGCCGGAGCUUUGGUGAACUGGCACACCGGGCUUGGGGAUACAGAGAUUUUUAUAGGGUUUGGGACAGGUUUCGCGCGCAUGCGCGCGGGAAGCAACAGGUUUCUUAUUGGUUUGUUUAAAUCUAGCAUAUAGGCCACCUAUGGGGUACAGGUCUGCAUUCCAAAAACCACAGGUCUGCAUUCUAUUCUUUCUGUUCCUGCUUAUCUGUUCCGGUUUAUUCAUUCAUGCCUCAGGAUGCGGGUGCUCUGUUCUUCAACCGGUUGUCCGGAAAGCAUGCCUGGCGCCUGAACCUGUUUAUGGUGUGCCUGGUAUCUUGGUUUCAUAUCUUGGCCUUAGGUAACUGGGCUGACUGGGCUAGGGUCUUUCAUAAUGUGAGGAAAUGCAAUGCUUUAGGGAUGGGAGCCCUAAAGCAGUGAUAAGCAAGCUUGACCUGAAACCCUGAGCAGGACUGCUGGGGUGGGGAGGUAAGAGCAUUCAUUGCAUCCCAGAGCAGCAAUCACUUGCAGGCUAGUGGGGGCAGCAGGAUCCAUCCACUGCCAUGUCAGCUCUGAAUGCCAGAUAUACAAGCAAAGUGCAAAGGCUGCUGAAAUCCACCAGAUUGGAAUUUAAAUCUAAGUAUUGCUUCCACCUAUGGACUCACAAAAAACAACUGCUACUCUCUGGCCAAGUUUAUGUUGUCACAGGAAUGAAAAUGUAUACUCAUUUGAAUGAAGUGCCAAUCUUAAAAGAAAAAUGGCACACCAUGAGUAUAAAAUUAUAUUUUAGAGUGAAUUGAAUUGAAAAAACCAGGAGCCCAGGCCCUGGGAGGCCUAGGGCACACAUCUUGGCUAAUUCAGCCAUUUUUUUCUGUUUGAUUGGCUUUGGUUUUGUAUUAUUUUGUUUUGUUGUUUUCUUCUGGUUUUGUAUGACCAUGAAUGCCAUGGCCUGAGCUUGGGGACUCAGGGAAUCUCAUGUUCAUUCAUUAAUACUUCUCUCAGCAAAAAAAGACUCUCUAUCCAUUUCCUUCAUCCAGAUUACAUAAAUCACUCAUUUGUAAAGAAGGUCAGUAUGACUCAUGAAACUGAGCUGGUACCUUCAUAAAGUUUACUUUGAGAGUUGCUGAAGAGCUGUGCUUUUCAACACCACAGGAUUUGGGCUCAUUGCGGAUUUUUGCACCCUAAUUUUCCCAUCAGGAAAUGUUCUAUCUGUGGCCUGCAUACUUUAUUUGGAUAUAAAGUAUGUUGUCUGUGGGUUUUUUAAGCAUGUUGAGGUCCUCAUAUGAAAAAUCUGAAUCACAGCCAACUAGAACUGCUCUCUUGGUACCCACAAUAACAAGAGUCAAAGAGUUUUAUGGAUAUGACACUGUGACCAGACUUUUUUUUCUUAAAGGUCUGAAAGAAUAUUUAUGUGCUGUUACAGUUUUGAUUUGGCAUGUGCCACAAAGUCUCAUGUGUACAGAGGUGGGUGGAACUUUUAGGCAAUGAACGGAUCUUGAGGCUCUGACUUCAUAAAUGAACUAAUCAAUUGGAUGGCUGACUGGACUAUUGGGAGGUGGGCAGAGCUGGAAGAAGUAGGUUACUGGAGGGGUUUCCUUCUCCCUUGAUGCUUAGUCUCCCUUUCUCUGCUCUCCAGCUGCCAUUCCUCUCAGUUGUUCUUCUGGGAUAAUUUUGGCCACAGCAGCACAAAGUUGACUAACACACACACUUAAUAAAUAAUGCUUUUUGUUGUAGAGCAAAACAUCCAGGAAUCAUUUAGGGUUAUUCUUUUUCAGGUCUGAUAAAAUAAUUCUGUUGCUUACAUCAUUUGUUUACAGAAAGCC